This 250-nucleotide ribosomal RNA is filed under the name uncultured bacterium. Its description in RNAcentral is "partial 16S ribosomal RNA". It matches the Rfam family "Bacterial small subunit ribosomal RNA", at positions 524 to 773 of the family's 1533-position model. The record is from RNAcentral.
UACAGAGGUGGCAAGCGUUGUUCGGAAUUACUGGGCGUAAAGGGCGCGUAGGCGGUCGGGAAAGUCCUGUGUGAAAUCCCUCGGCUCAACUGAGGAACUGCACGGGAAACUGCUCGACUUGAGUUCGGGAGAGGGAAGCGGAAUUCCGGGCGUAGCGGUGAAAUGCGUAGAUAUCCGGAGGAACACCGGUGGCGAAGGCGGCUUCCUGGACCGACACUGACGCUGAGGCGCGAAAGCUAGGGGAGCAAAC